CCAUCCCGAACACGACCGUUAAGCCCUCCAGCGCCGAUGGUACUUGGACCGAAGGGUCCUGGGAGAGUAGGACGCCGCCAAGC
RNAcentral lists this ribosomal RNA (83 nucleotides) under Paenibacillus macerans. The record is from RNAcentral. Lineage: Bacteria; Bacillati; Bacillota; Bacilli; Caryophanales; Paenibacillaceae. RNAcentral also lists the same sequence under 2 other names.